This 94-nucleotide transfer RNA is filed under the name Pandoraea captiosa. Its description in RNAcentral is "Pandoraea sp. LMG 31118 tRNA-Cys". Lineage: Bacteria; Pseudomonadati; Pseudomonadota; Betaproteobacteria; Burkholderiales; Burkholderiaceae. The record is from RNAcentral.
CGUCGGCGCCGGCGGGCGGUGCUGCGGGCGGUGCUGCAAGUUCGGCGGCGGGUGGCGACACGCGCACGGUCGGUCGCGGCGACUCGCUAUCGUC